AGCGCAGGGCCGGUCUGAUCUCACACUGGGGCCGCGCUCAGCCGCCUGACGCACUGUCCGGCGGCUGUUACUGAGCAUGCGCGGUACCAUCUGCGGGAGCCGGGACUCAGCCCUCAUGACAGCGUCUUCGCGGCUGCUCUGGGCCGGGGGCUAAACGGAGGGGCGCGAUGCGCAGACUCUGUCGAGGGGGAAAGUGAUCGCGCCCUGGGAGUUAAACAGCUGGAGGCAGGGGAAGGCGAGGGGCCCACGGGCAGGAGGAAAUACCAGAAAACUCAAGUCUCAACUUCCCUUGUUUUGCCAGAGGACCUGCUGGAAUAGACCAGUACAGGUUCAGUUUUACACCUUAACUGAAUGGGAAGUGGUGUUGAAUCUUCAAAUGGCAGAAAGAAGGCAUUUCAAUGAAGAUAGCUAUAUGAUCCACAACAUCUAUGUCUGCCCAUAAACCUCACUCAGGAUCAUGGCCCCAUUCUGCUCAAUGCUGUAUAGACAUACAUGAGGAUAUGGUCCCUGACCCAGAGACUGUACGCUCCAAAAACGUGAUGCACAAUAAACACAGCAUGCAGACCCAUGUGCUUGUGAGGAAUUCACUACAGGACUCAGGCCUUAGAAGUGAAACAACUGACAAUUUUGACUUACACGCGUUAAAGAAAACUACAUACUGUCAUUGAACAUUAUCAGACUGCAAGCCUUUUUGCUUUAAAACCAAUACAAUUAGUUUCUCAUUGAGAAAGACUGACUUUCUGACAGAGGGCUUAGUGCAAGGUCACAGGAUCAGCAUGUACCAAUUACAAGUACAUCUAUUUUAUAUUCUGUCACACUAUCAUGCAACACCAGAUUUUAGUGUAUUUUUUCCAAUUUUGUAGCCAACUUAAAUUUAUUUUCUCCAGUAAGACUGCAUAUGAAAAUUUUCACCCAAUUUGAAUACACUAGGUAUUAGAUUUUGAAUUCUAAAUACUACAAAUUUUGCCACCAACAGAUGUCAGUACUAAAUUUAUUGGCAUUCUUGGGCAGAUUUAAUUCUAUCACAAAUACUGGCACACAGAUUUUGGGAGAGGGCCAUAUAUUUAUAUUCAGAACUCUGGAAACACUUUUGUAUAUACUGUGCCAAUAUUUAGAUAAUUCAUGGCAAGAAAAAGUUAUGCUGAUGAUAUCUCCAGCAUGUAAUAGGAUUAGUUAAAUUUGCUUUAUGGAGACAAUCUUGUGUCUAGCAAAAUCUAUUUAACUUUUUGCUCAGGAAAAACACAAGAAAAUGAGCUGAUAUACUUCUGACUUUUUGCCAUAUUUCUUUCUAAUCAUCUUCAAACAAUGUAACUCUUAUCUCCAAUGUUAGAGGUAUAGUGUGUGUGGGGGGAUGACAAAAAAAAUGCAGACAUCAUGCAAAGA
Long non-coding RNA from Mauremys mutica (yellowpond turtle), 1383 nucleotides. RefSeq lists it as uncharacterized. NCBI's taxonomy places the organism in Eukaryota, Metazoa, Chordata, Testudines, Geoemydidae. The record is from RefSeq and is a predicted model, not a curated record. The transcript has 4 exons.